This 329-nucleotide ribosomal RNA is filed under the name uncultured eukaryote. RNAcentral's name for it is "partial 18S ribosomal RNA". It matches the Rfam family "Eukaryotic small subunit ribosomal RNA", at positions 1470 to 1796 of the family's 1831-position model. The record is from RNAcentral.
CCCUUAGAUGUUCUGGGCCGCACGCGCGCUACACUGAUACGUUCAACAAGUUUAGAACCUUGACUGAGAGGUCUGGGUAAUCUUUUGAAUGCGUAUCGUGUUAGGGAUAGAUUAUUGCAAUUAUUAAUCUUGAACGAGGAAUUCCUAGUAAACGCAAGUCAUCAGCUUGCAUUGGUUACGUCCCUGCCCUUUGUACACACCGCCCGUCGCUCCUACCGAUUGAAUGAUCCGAUGAAUAUCAUGGAUUGAGGAUGCAAGCAGGUUCGCCUGUCUUCAUCUUCGAGAAGUGAAGUAAAUCUUAUCAUUUAGAGGAAGGAGAAGUCGUAACA